ACUGCUCAGUAACACGUAGUUAAUCUACUCUUAGGUCAUAGAUACCCUCGGGAAACUGAGGUUAAACCAAGAUAGGAGAUUUACCCUGGAAAGAUUAAUCUCUUAAAUUCGCGCCUAAGAAUGAGACUGCGGCUGAUUAGGUUGUUGGCGGAGUAAUAGCCCACCAAGCCAAAGAUCAGUAAGGGCUCUUAGCGGAGAGGCCCUGAGAGGGAAUCUGAGACACUAUUCCCAGCCCUACGGGGUGCAGCAGUUAGGAAUUUUCUUCAAUGCGCGCAAGCGUGAAAGAGUGAGCCAGAGUGUUUCUCACUGAGAAACUUUUGCCAAAUGCAAAAAGUUUGGCGAAUAAGGACUGGGUAAGACGGGUGCCAGCCGCCGCGGUAAUACCCGCGGUCCAAGUCGCAGCCAUCAUUAUUGGGUCUAAAACAUCCGUAGCUUGCUUGAUAAGUCUCUUGUGAAAUUCUACAUCUUCAAUGUAGAGCGUGCGAGAGAUACUGUUAAGCUAGAGACUGGGAGACGUAAUGAGUAUGUUUGAGGUAGUAGUGAAAUAUUUUAAUCUCAGACAGACUUACAAGAGCGAAGGCACGUUACGAGAACAGUUCUGACAGUGAGGGAUGAAGGCUAGGGGCGCAAAAGGGAUUAGAUACCCCUGUAGUCCUAGCAGUAAACACUGCACACUAAACAUUGGGACCUCCUCGAGAGGCUUCAGUGCUGAAGCGAAGGCGAAGAGUGUGCUACCUGGGAAGUAUAGUCGCAAGGCCGAAACUUAAAGGAAUUGGCGGGGGAGCAC
This 787-nucleotide ribosomal RNA is filed under the name uncultured euryarchaeote. RNAcentral describes it as "bacterial SSU rRNA". It matches the Rfam family "Archaeal small subunit ribosomal RNA", at positions 85 to 879 of the family's 1478-position model. The record is from RNAcentral. Lineage: Archaea; Methanobacteriati; Methanobacteriota.